This 916-nucleotide ribosomal RNA is filed under the name uncultured bacterium. RNAcentral's name for it is "bacterial SSU rRNA". It matches the Rfam family "Bacterial small subunit ribosomal RNA", at positions 8 to 916 of the family's 1533-position model. The record is from RNAcentral.
AGAGUUUGAUCCUGGCUCAGAUUGAACGCUGGCGGAAUGCUUUACACAUGCAAGUCGAACGGCAGCACGGGAGCUUGCUCCUGGUGGCGAGUGGCGAACGGGUGAGUAAUGCGUCGGAACGUACCGAGUAAUGGGGGAUAACGCAGCGAAAGUUGUGCUAAUACCGCAUACGCCCUGAGGGGGAAAGUGGGGGAUCGCAAGACCUCACGUUAUUCGAGCGGCCGACGUCUGAUUAGCUAGUUGGUGGGGUAAUGGCUCACCAAGGCGACGAUCAGUAGCGGGUCUGAGAGGAUGAUCCGCCACACUGGGACUGAGACACGGCCCAGACUCCUACGGGAGGCAGCAGUGGGGAAUUUUGGACAAUGGGGGCAACCCUGAUCCAGCCAUUCCGCGUGAGUGAAGAAGGCCUUCGGGUUGUAAAGCUCUUUCAGCAGGAACGAAACGGUAUGGGCUAAUACCCUGUGCUAAUGACGGUACCUGCAGAAGAAGCACCGGCUAACUACGUGCCAGCAGCCGCGGUAAUACGUAGGGUGCGAGCGUUAAUCGGAAUUACUGGGCGUAAAGCGUGCGCAGGCGGAUUGUUAAGCAAGAUGUGAAAUCCCCGGGCUUAACCUGGGAAUGGCAUUUUGAACUGGCAGUCUAGAGUGUGUCAGAGGGGGGUGGAAUUCCACGUGUAGCAGUGAAAUGCGUAGAGAUGUGGAGGAACACCGAUGGCGAAGGCAGCCCCCUGGGAUAACACUGACGCUCAUGUACGAAAGCGUGGGUAGCAAACAGGAUUAGAUACCCUGGUAGUCCACGCCCUAAACGAUGUCAACUGGUUGUUGGGGGAGUGAAAUCCCUUAGUAACGAAGCUAACGCGUGAAGUUGACCGCCUGGGGAGUACGGUCGCAAGAUUAAAACUCAAAGGAAUUGACGG